RNAcentral lists this ribosomal RNA (253 nucleotides) under uncultured bacterium. RNAcentral's name for it is "partial 16S ribosomal RNA". It matches the Rfam family "Bacterial small subunit ribosomal RNA", at positions 524 to 776 of the family's 1533-position model. The record is from RNAcentral.
UACGUAGGCAGCGAGCGUUGUUCGGAGUUACUGGGCGUAAAGGGUGCGUAGGCGGUUGUUUAAGUUUGGGGUGAAAUCUCCCGGCUCAACUGGGAGGGUGCGCCGAAUACUGAAUGACUAGAGUGCGGGAGAGGAGAGUGGAAUUCCUGGUGUAGCGGUGAAAUGCGUAGAUAUCAGGAGGAACACCGGUGGUGUAGACGGCUCUCUGGACCGUAACUGACGCUGAGGCACGAAAGCGUGGGUAGCAAACAGG